This 503-nucleotide ribosomal RNA is filed under the name Micrura ignea. Its description in RNAcentral is "partial 16S ribosomal RNA". It matches the Rfam family "Bacterial large subunit ribosomal RNA", at positions 1835 to 2595 of the family's 2925-position model. Lineage: Eukaryota; Metazoa; Nemertea; Pilidiophora; Heteronemertea; Lineidae. The record is from RNAcentral.
AUUGUUGUUUAUAAUAAAUGGUUCCUGCCCAGUGAUUGGUUUAAACGGCCGCGGUACUCUGACCGUGCAAAGGUAGCAUAAUCACUUGCCUUUUAAUUGGGGGCUGGUAUGAAUGGAAGUUCGGGGGUUAAACUGUCUCUAGGCUAAAUGUGGAAGUUGCUGUUCUUGUGAAGAAGCAAGGGUAAUGCAAAAGGACAAGAAGACCCUAUUAAGCUUUACUUUUUGGCGUGGUCUUAAUCACUAGCACUGUAAAGGGGCAUGGUAAGAAAAAGUUUGGUUGGGGUGACCUGAGAAGAUAAAAUCUUCUACUGUUUUUUAAACAUAUUAGUUUAUAGCUGAUCCGGAGGGUUUCGAGCAAAAGAAAAAGUUACUAUAGGGAUAACAGCGUUAUUUUUUCUUAGAGUUCUAAUCGAAGAAAAAGAUUGCGACCUCGAUGUUGACUUGCCAUAUCCUGUGUUGUGGUGCAGAUGCUGCAAAGGUUGGUCUGUUCGACCAUUAAAAUG